CCGGUCCUGGGCUGGGGGCAGGGGCUAGGGCCGGGUCCCGGGGUGAGCCGAAACCUGGGGGUCGGGCGGGGCGGGAAAUGGGGCGCAGUGAGGCUGGGAGCCGGCCCUGAGCUCGUCCUGCGUAGGGGUAGCCGGGCUCAGGGGGCGCCUGAGCUGGAGGUGGAAGCGUGAAGUCAGGACUGAGUGGGCGAAGAGAACCUGGGCUGAGACAUGGCCGCUUACCAACAAGAAGGGCAGAUGCAGCUUCCCCGAGCUGAUGCCAUUCGUUCACGUCUCAUCGAUACUUUCUCUCUCAUCGAGCAUUUGCAAGGCUUGAGCCAAGCUGUGCUGCGACACACUAUCAGGAGUUACUUGAUCCUUCCCGCCAGAAGAAACUUAUGUUGGGAGAUCAACACCAGCUAGUGGGCGUCUCUAUAAAGCCUCAACGUAUAGAACAGAUUUCACAUGCCCAGAGGCUGUUGAGCAGGCUUCAUGUGCGCUGCAGUCAGAGGCCACCUCUUUCUUUGUGGGCCGGAUGGGUCCUUGAGUGUAUCCUUUCAUGUCACUCAUUUUUAUCCUGGCUGUUGAUCAUCUGCCUAAUGACUUAUUUUUUGCUUCCCAAACUCCAUUGUCUCAUUCUCACUGCUUAUGUUAUUGCUCUUAUUAUUUCAGCUGCAUAAAUCAGAAAGAACUCCACUCUGUAUGUUUCCUUAAGAGACAACAGGUCCUCUCUUCAAAAACUUCAUCAUCUUCCUGAUCUUUUUGAAUACGAUCGUACUGAUGGUUGAAAUACGUGAGAACUGACAUUGUAUGAAAGAGGAAGUGAGGCCAGGCGCGGCGGCUCACACGUGUAAUCCUAGCACUGUGGGAGGCCGAGGCAGGCGGAUUGCCAAAGCUCAGGAGUUCAAGACCAG
This 893-nucleotide long non-coding RNA is filed under the name Homo sapiens (human). Its description in RNAcentral is "HSALNT0219503". The record is from RNAcentral. Lineage: Eukaryota; Metazoa; Chordata; Mammalia; Primates; Hominidae.